Molecule: unclassified non-coding RNA, 244 nt
Filed under: Hevea brasiliensis (rubber tree)
Lineage: Eukaryota; Viridiplantae; Streptophyta; Magnoliopsida; Malpighiales; Euphorbiaceae
Source: RNAcentral
UGCUUCCCAGCAAAGAUCAACCUCUGUUGAUCCGGUGGAAUACCCUCCUUGUCUUGGAUUUUAGCCUUCACAUUAUCAAUUGUAUCAGAACUUUCAACCUCCAGGGUAAUGGUUUUGCCAGUCAACGUCUUGACAAAAAUCUGCAUUCCACCACGCAGACGCAGAACCAAAUGAAGAGUUGACUCCUUCUGAAUAUUGUAGUCAGCCGAAGUUCUCCCGUCCUCAAGUUGCUUUCCAGCAAAAA